UGCAUUCUGUGGGUGUUCACCCCUUCCUCCAUCUUCCAACACUUCACUUAUAACAGCCGUCUCCUUUGAACUAGCAUCACUCUUUAUGAGGACCCUGUGAUUAUGCUGAGCCCACCUAGAAUCUCCUCUGGAGAUUCUUAAUCACACCAACAAAAAUCUCUUCUGUCAGUCUACCUGUUCUGAGCAUGUUUAGGAUGAUGGAGAAAAUGAUCUUCUGAGAUCCCUUCUACUGUUAAACUUCUAUGAUUUGAAGACUGAGGAUUGAAUAUUGGUUUAUUAAGCACUGGGUCCUAUUGGGACAGCUCAGUCAUUCCUUGACUUGUUUAAAUUAAGUUUAGGGUAUGGAAAGAUGCUGGAAAGAAUAUGUGAAAAAGGAGGAUAAGAACAAAAGUGAGAAGAGGGGUCUGACCACUGAAAAUCUUUGAUGCCAUACAAAAUGAAUCUCUGUAUUCCAGCUUCCUGAAAAUCUUUAGUAGAAACAGAGAUCCUGGACAUCCUUUUUAGACUUGUUUUCAUUUGUGAAAUGUCUUCAUGCCUAAUAGCAAGCAGAAGAAAACCUUGCUCUCCUCCACUGAGAAGACAAGUUAAGAGCAAAACGACCUAUAAUUUUCACCAGAAACGUAGAAAAGAGGACACCCAGAGUUCCAGAUCUUUGCCAGCCCAUCACUGUGAAAAAGCAAAGUCAACCCAUAAUCCUAUUACCAUUUCAUUUUUCGAGACCUAUAAAACUUUUUCCUUGCUAUCAAUAAUCACCAACAUUUCUAAAUGCUCCAUUUACUAGAUUCCUAAACUUUUUCUAAGACUAAAGAGUAAAUAACAGUAACAUUUAUAGAACAGAAGUCAUUUAAGUAGUUUUCACAAACCAAUUGACUAAAAUUUUAGCUAGAUUUCUAAGAAAUAUCGUAAAGACACUGUAGCAGAUUGUGUUAUUUUCUGUAAAUAUUUGCAGCCCAUCUCUUGGGAAAGAUUAUACUCCCCCACUUCACUGAUGUCAAUCUUGGUCAUAUGACUUGUGAAGAGUGAGCAGAAGUGGCAUGUGCCACUUGCAAGUAGAAAUUUAAGGGCCAUUGCAGUUUGCCAGUUUCUUUUUACUUCUGUGCUAGACCAGAAUAUUCCAGAUAAGGGCUCCAUCAACCAGGGGUCCAGAGCGAAUACAACAUGGAGCAGCACUGGGACCAACCCAGGAGACUAUGUAGAAUAAGUGAGAAGUAAACUUUUGUUCAUGUUAGUCACUGAUAUUGUGGGUCACCUGUUACCACAGGAUAACCUAGGCGAUUGUCCUAAAUGACUAAUUAGAGGAUGUAAAAAUCCUGUUAUAUUCUGCGCCUGGACCUUUUAAUUAUAAAUGAUAUAAAGAUGGCAGUAGCAAAAAAUAACCUCAUUUAUUCAGAAAGAAGCAUUUCAAUGUUUCCUAUAGGUUAAUACAAUUAAGACAGGAUAUAAGACGAAAUUUUGGCUGCACUGAACAACAAAAGUGUUGCAAGGGAUUCAGAAUCCUAAAGAAUUUUUGAGUUAUUUACAGGAUACAAAAGCAUGUAACCAGAGGAUCACAUCCAGAAAUAAUGUUGGCUAUUAUUUAGGGAUUAUCUUUAACCUGGGAAAAUGGGGCACUCACCAUCCUUUUUUCUU
This is a long non-coding RNA of Felis catus (domestic cat), 1629 nucleotides long. RefSeq lists it as uncharacterized. The transcript has 6 exons. Lineage: Eukaryota; Metazoa; Chordata; Mammalia; Carnivora; Felidae. The record is from RefSeq and is a predicted model, not a curated record.